CCCUGUGACACGUGAUCUCAUGAAAUGUUUGUAAACAUGCGUCAAACGCAUGUGACGGUGACGUGAGAAAUAAGUAGCGGCGCCGGGACCAAUGGCGAAGCGGGGGUGUGAGGGGCGUGGCUCGCGUGGCUGCGCUCAGGAAAAUUCGCUGGCUGCGUUGUACCGAGGCGGAGGUAGGACUGUUUGUCUGAGCUCGGCUGAGCAGGUGACGGAUCGAUCGGAGUGGGAACGGGAACGGGAACGCCAAAGGACGGCGAUGAACGCGACAGUUAGUGUUCAGCGCUUCGGUGCCUCAGGACGGGGAAAGACGCCAGCUCCCGCCGCAUCUCUACUUCAGCCAGCAAAGGAAGGAGCGGCGCCGGCAGGUGGAGUCCAAGUAGAAUAUCUGAAGAGGAGAGAAAAAGGUGAAAGACUUCAGAGUCAAAGAAAUGUCGCGGCGAAAACAGAGGGUAAGUACCUUUCUCUAGGGUCCUACAGUAGGAGGAGGGAUCUGAAUCUUGAGUCCUUCAAGUGGAAGGUGGUACCCUGA
This 529-nucleotide long non-coding RNA is filed under the name Scleropages formosus (Asian bonytongue). RNAcentral's name for it is "lncRNA (ENSSFOG00015032523.1)". Lineage: Eukaryota; Metazoa; Chordata; Actinopteri; Osteoglossiformes; Osteoglossidae. The record is from RNAcentral.